Molecule: long non-coding RNA, 975 nt
Filed under: Oryza sativa Indica Group (long-grained rice)
Lineage: Eukaryota; Viridiplantae; Streptophyta; Magnoliopsida; Poales; Poaceae
Description: lncRNA OsMH63_11G018140
Source: RNAcentral
CCGCAUGAGAGGGACGCGCUGCUGGCCUUCAAGCAACGCAUCACCCUCGAUUACUACGGCUUCCUCUCGUCAUGGAAACAAGGUGGCCAGGAAGAAGAAGAAGAAGAAGACUGCUGCCAGUGGAGAGGCGUCACGUGCAGCAACCGAACCGGCCACGUCGUCAAGCUCGAUCUCGGUGAUGCAGGUUUAAAAGGCCAAAUAAGUCCUUCUCUUCUUUCCCUCGAGCAACUGGAGUCCCUCGAUCUCAGCUUGAAUUGGUUCAAUAAUGGCUCUAUCCCAACUUUUCUGGGUUGUUUCAAGAAUUUGAGAUAUCUGAAUCUCUCGCACACGUCUUUCACUGGUACAUUUUCUCAUCAGCUUAGCAACCCUUCCAAACUUGAGUACCUUGGCAUGGACAAUGUAAAUCUCAGCACAAUAGCUGAUUGGCCUCUUGUGGUGAACAUGAUUCCAUCUCUGAAGGUCCUCCACCUUUUUGGCUGUUCACUUCAAAGUGCAAACCAAUCGCUUACACACCUAAACUUAACCAACCUUGAAGAUCUCGAACUCUCACAUAACUUUUUUGGUCAUCCAAUUGCAUCUUGCUGGUUUUGGGACGUAAAAGGCAUCAAGCACCUUGUCCUUGAUGAAACCUAUCUUAAUGGUCCAUUCCCAGAUACAUUAGGAGAAAUGACGUCCCUCCAAGAGCUAUAUUUUGGUGUAAAUGGCAACUUAGCCACGAUGACGGUGGACUUGAAAAACCUUUGUGAAUUAAGAGUUCUAGCACUUGAUAGCAGUCUCUCUAAUGGAAACAUCACGGAGUUUAUAGACAAAUUGCCAAAAUGUUCUUCUAGCAGAUUAUCCGCCUUGGUUUUGGAAGACAAUAAUAUGACUGGAGUGCUGCCGACUAUGUUGGAGCACUUGACUAGCCUAGAAAGUCUUGACCUUUUUAACAACAGCAUAAGUGGACCUAUACCGCCAGAGAUUCUGAAUUUGACA